UUUUUUUUUUGAGAGAGAGAGAGAGAAGAGGAGAGGGAUGUGUAUACAAAUAGGUAGAUUAAAGCAUUAAAUAGAAUAAUAAAAGUCACAAAAGUUUGGAUCCAAUCCAAUAUGAACUACAAAGACUCUUAUUGAAUUACAGAGACUCUUCUUGUUUAGUUGUCUGUGACAAUUCAUGAUUCACAGCCUCCAAACUUUACAAAUUUUUUCUUAAUUCUAAUCAAGAUUAAUUUGAAUUCUAUAGAGUAUACUUCUUACUUCCAAAAAUGUGGCAUUGGAUGCUGAAGCUU
This 290-nucleotide long non-coding RNA is filed under the name Physcomitrium patens. Its description in RNAcentral is "long non-coding RNA (PPAT_LNC002670)". Lineage: Eukaryota; Viridiplantae; Streptophyta; Bryopsida; Funariales; Funariaceae. The record is from RNAcentral.